GAUGAAGAACGCAGCGAAAUGCGAUACGUAGUGUGAAUUGCAGAAUUCAGUGAAUCAUCGAAUCUUUGAACGCACAUUGCGCCCUUUGGUAUUCCAAAGGGCAUGCCUGUUCGAGCGUCAUUUGUACCUUCAAGCUUUGCUUGGUGUUGGGCGUCUUUUUGUCUCUCCUUUGCGGGAGACUCGCCUUAAAACGAUUGGCAGCCGGCCUACUGGUUUCGGAGCGCAGCACAUUUUUUGCGCUUUGCAUCAGGAGAAAAGGACGGUACUCCAUCAAGACGUUUACAUUUUUCACUUUUGACCUCGGAUCAGGUAGGGAUACCCGCUGAACUUAAGCAUAUCAAUAAGCGGAGGA
Molecule: unclassified non-coding RNA, 352 nt
Filed under: soil metagenome
Description: partial contains 5.8S ribosomal RNA, internal transcribed spacer 2, and large subunit ribosomal RNA
Rfam family: 5.8S ribosomal RNA (bases 1-120)
Source: RNAcentral